Molecule: long non-coding RNA, 764 nt
Organism: Diachasmimorpha longicaudata
Lineage: Eukaryota; Metazoa; Arthropoda; Insecta; Hymenoptera; Braconidae
Exons: 2
Source: RefSeq, a predicted model, not a curated record
CUUUCUGUUCUGCCUUUACAGGAGAAAAACAAAUAAACGAAAAACUGAUUUUUUUUUUUGUUUUCUUUUGAUAUUCUAUCAUUAAGAGUACUUUGUUGUGAUUUGAGCUUGUUGAAAUGUUAAUUGAUUGGGAGUUUAUAGGGAGCUAGUUCAUUGAUAUGUUAAGAAACUUGAAGUUGACCAGUGACAUUAAAGUCAUGCUACCAGAUUGAAAAAUCCCGAGCGACGAUGCUUCAUUAGAUGAUUGUUUUUUCCAGCGUUACGAUCCUUUCGCUUUCUACGGCUGGCUGAUCUCGGAUUUCACUCAUCGCCUUGUGGAGAAUGCGUAAGCAUAUAUUUGUCUAUAAUUUUUGAAGACUUUUAUAUUGGAAUUUUAUUUGUGAGUGUAUAUGAUAUCCCAUGGAAAAGAAAAAUGGCCAGAAAAAGAACGGGGAAAGGUGAUAAUAAAUUUCAAAAUAAACGAUAAAAAUUAAUUAUCAAGAGAUCUUUGAACUGCACUCUGUUCCAUUUACAGGUGAAUACGAAAAAAAACUUUCUCGAGAAAGUUUAUAUCAGUCCACAUGAGUGCUAAAAUUCAAUUAUAUCUUUCCAACUUCAGGGAACCCCCAUCAAAUGAAUCAUUAACUCUAGCUGUUACAGUGUGUAUCUUUGCUAUUCCAGUCUAUUGGUUACGCAAUUGUAAUAGAUUGAGGCCUUCGGGUGCGCAGCAAAAAAAAUUAUAAACAAGGACGCUGAGUACCUCAAGGCACUGCCUUAGUAAAUUA